AAUAGAUACCCGGGUAGUCCUGGCCCUAAACGGUGCGUGUUUGCCGUAGGAGGAAUCGACCCCUUCUGUGGCGAAGCUAACGCGUUAAACACGCCGCCUGGGGAGUACGGUCGCAAGGUUGAAACUCAAAGGAAUUGACGGGGGCCCGCACAAGCGGUGGAGCAUGUGGAUUAAUACGCCACUAACCGUAGAACCUUACCCAGGCUUGACAUCUGUAGAAGGCCUCUGAAAGGAGGCGGUGCCCCGCAAGGGGAGCUACAAGACAGGUGUUGCAUGGCUGUCGUCAGCUCGUGUCGUGAGAUGUUGGGUUAAGUCCCGCAACGAGCGCAACCCUUGUCUUUAGUUGCUACGCAAGAGCACUCUAGAGAGACUGCCGGUGACAAACCGGAGGAAGGUGGGGAUGACGUCAAGUCCUCAUGGCCCUUAUGCUUAGGGCUACACACGUGCUACAAUGGCCGGUACAAAACGGUCGCGAUCCCGUAAGGGGGAGCUAAUCGCAAAAACCGGUCUCAGUUCGGAUUGGAGUCUGCAACUCGACUCCAUGAAGUUGG
This 551-nucleotide ribosomal RNA is filed under the name uncultured bacterium. RNAcentral describes it as "bacterial SSU rRNA". It matches the Rfam family "Bacterial small subunit ribosomal RNA", at positions 777 to 1329 of the family's 1533-position model. The record is from RNAcentral.